Molecule: transfer RNA, 69 nt
Filed under: Marmota marmota marmota (Alpine marmot)
Lineage: Eukaryota; Metazoa; Chordata; Mammalia; Rodentia; Sciuridae
Also listed under: 4 other names
Rfam family: tRNA
About the family: Transfer RNA (tRNA) molecules are approximately 80 nucleotides in length. Their secondary structure includes four short double-helical elements and three loops (D, anti-codon, and T loops).
Source: Rfam by way of RNAcentral
GGGGUUGUGGCUCAGUGGUGGAGCACUUGCCUAGCACAUAUGAGGCCCUGAGUUCGACCCUCAGCACCA